Molecule: ribosomal RNA, 274 nt
Filed under: uncultured bacterium
Lineage: Bacteria
Description: partial 16S ribosomal RNA
Rfam family: Bacterial small subunit ribosomal RNA
Source: RNAcentral
AUACAGAGGGUGCAAGCGUUAAUCGGAAUUACUGGGCGUAAAGCGCGCGUAGGCGGUUUAUUAAGUCGGAUGUGGAAGCCCUGGGCUUAACCUGGGAACGGCAUUCGAAACUGGUAGACUAGGGUAUGAUAGAGGAAAGUGGAAUUCCAGGUGUAGCGGUGAAAUGCAUAGAUAUCUGGAGGAACAUCAGUGGCGAAGGCGGCUUUCUGGAUCAAUACUGACGCUGAGGUGCGAAAGCGUGGGGAGCAAACAGGAUUAGAUACCCCAGUAGUCC